Molecule: ribosomal RNA, 424 nt
Filed under: uncultured bacterium
Lineage: Bacteria
Description: partial 16S ribosomal RNA
Rfam family: Bacterial small subunit ribosomal RNA
Source: RNAcentral
AAUAUUGGACAAUGGGCGAAAGCCUGAUCCAGCCAUGCCGCGCGUGUGAAGAAGGUCUUCGGAUUGUAAAGCACUUUAAGUUGGGAGGAAGGGUUGUAGGUUCAUACCCUGCAAUUUUGACGCUACCAACAGAAUAUGCACCGGCCACCUUCGGGCCAUCAGCCGCGGUAAUACGAAGGGUCCAACCGUUAUUCGGAAUUACUGGGCGUAAAGCGCGCGUAGUUGGUUCGUUAAGUUGGAAGUGAAAGCCCCGGGCUUAACCUGGGAAUUGCUUUCAAAACUGACGAGCUAGAGUACGGUAGAGGGUAGUGGAAUUUCCUGUGUAGCGGUGAAAUGCGUAGAUAUAGGAAGGAACACCAGUGGCGAAGGCGACCACCUGGGCUAAUACUGACACUGGGGUGCGAAAGCGUGGGGAGCAAACAGG